RNAcentral lists this long non-coding RNA (1300 nucleotides) under Marmota monax (woodchuck). Lineage: Eukaryota; Metazoa; Chordata; Mammalia; Rodentia; Sciuridae. The record is from RNAcentral.
GGCAAAUUAGUUUUUAAAGCUUAUGUCUAAAAACCUGUCAAACAUCAGAUUCUCAUAUCUGAUGUAAAUAUAACAAUUAAAAUUCAGGAAAUGAAUAUAACAUUUAAAUUACUAAAUGAAGAUACAGAAAAACAGUUAAUUUCAGAAAGUACUGAUAGGAUUUAUAAUCAAUUUUCAACAUCACUAACAAAAAACCCAUAAAUUUUCACUUAUUACAGAGUGAUGCUAUUCUAGAAAUCAGAAACAGAAGCCACACAUGGGUUAUUAGCAUUUUAAAUCAUCUUAUUUUCUGGGGCUCAUCUCAGGCCUGGAGCAAUGAAAGAAUGUCAAAUAAUUUCCUUGAAUUAGGAAUUUGACCAGUAUGUGUUAAAUAAUACUUAAUAAUGAGCCCUUUUAAAACUUAGUACAAACUUGGUCUAAAUAUUUUAGUGCGUAAAUUUACUUGCAAAUUUUCAAGUCUGUUGAACAGUUAAUAAUUUACACUCUACAUGAAUAUUAUAUAGAGAUAAAAGAAUUACAAUUUAUCAAAAGAAAACACAACAUAUUUGAAUUAUGAAAGUUCUAAUAUUUUAAUUCUGAAUCAAGCUGUUACUCAAAAAACCAAAAUGACUGAAAAGCUACAUUCUCAAGAAUCCAAUUUUUGCAAAGAAUAAAUAGGAAACUAGCAGAAUCUCAAAAGAUUAAUCCCUUUAGAUUUUAAUCUUAGACUGUUGGCAUUUGGCUACAUAAAUAAUAUUUUAUAAACAUCAAUUCUACUUGGAAAAGUCUUCAUAAAUGGGCUUUUAUAGCAAAACAACAGAUAACUUUCUAAAAAGUGAAAAAUUAUAAAUGCCUUUCCUCUAUGUUUAUUUCUUUAAUGGCAAUCUUUAGGUUACUCAUGGAAAUCAAGCAGAGUUAACAUUUUAAAAGUUAUUUAAUUGAAAAAGUUGUAAUAGGCCAGAAGACAAUUUUGUAACAAAAUUUUAAAGACAUCCUUAUUAUCAAAAAGUUCAGAUUAACUUAAUGUCACAGAUUUACUAAGUCAUGUGAAUUGAAAAAAAAAUUGGGGGGGGGGCUAAUUUAACAGGUUUUAAAUUAUGUGUUUACUUAAUCUAAAAGCCAGUUUGGUACUAUGCAAACAAACAAUACCUAGGAAUAUAAACAUGUUGGCACAUACAAGAAAAUUUAAAAGCUUAGAUUUAUCACAAAUAUGUAUUUUAAAAUACAAAAUUAGGAUAAAACUUUAUUUGUAGUUUUGUAUUGUACUUUUGAAAUGUAAUUUAAAAUUAUUCAGAUAAUAUCAAACUCACAGAAAAGUUCA